RNAcentral lists this ribosomal RNA (253 nucleotides) under uncultured bacterium. Its description in RNAcentral is "partial 16S ribosomal RNA". It matches the Rfam family "Bacterial small subunit ribosomal RNA", at positions 524 to 776 of the family's 1533-position model. The record is from RNAcentral.
UACGUAGGGGGCAAGCGUUGUCCGGAUUUAUUGGGCGUAAAGCGUCCGCAGGUGGUUUAGUAAGUCAAUGGUCAAAACUCAGCGCUUAACGCUGAGGCCGCCGUUGAUACUACUAAACUCGAGUACGGAAGAGGCAAGCGGAAUUCUCGGUGUAGUCGUAAUAAGCGUUGAUAUCGAGAAGAACACCAAAUGCGAAGGCAGCUUGCUAGUACGUUACUGACACUCAGGGACGAAAGCGUGGGGAGCAAACAGG